UACGGAGGGAGCUAGCGUUAUUCGGAAUUACUGGGCGUAAAGCGCACGUAGGCGGCUUUGUAAGUAAGAGGUGAAAGCCCAGAGCUCAACUCUGGAAUUGCCUUUUAGACUGCAUCGCUUGAAUCAUGGAGAGGUCGGUGGAAUUCCGAGUGUAGAGGUGAAAUUACGUUAGAUAUUCGGAAGAACACCUAGGUAGGCGAAAGGCCGGCGUGG
This 213-nucleotide ribosomal RNA is filed under the name uncultured bacterium. RNAcentral describes it as "partial 16S ribosomal RNA". It matches the Rfam family "Bacterial small subunit ribosomal RNA", at positions 524 to 738 of the family's 1533-position model. The record is from RNAcentral.